RNAcentral lists this unclassified non-coding RNA (391 nucleotides) under soil metagenome. Its description in RNAcentral is "partial contains 5.8S ribosomal RNA, internal transcribed spacer 2, and large subunit ribosomal RNA". The stretch from base 1 to 122 matches the Rfam family "5.8S ribosomal RNA", at positions 35 to 154 of the family's 154-position model. The record is from RNAcentral.
GAUGAAGAACGUAGCGAAAUGCGAUACUUGGUGUGAAUUGCAGAAUCCCGUGAACCAUCGAGUCUUUGAACGCAAGUUGCGCCCGAAGCCACUAGGCCGAGGGCACGCCUGCCUGGGCGUCACACGCCGUUGCCCCCCCGUCUACUCCUUCGGGAUUGCGGGGGGGCGGAUGAUGGCCUCCUGUGCGCCUAGCCGCGCGGUUGGCAUAAAUACCAAGUCCUCGGCGACGCACGCCACGACAAUCGGUGGUUGCGAAACCUCGGUUGCCCGUCGUGUGCGUUCGUCGCGCAUCGAGGGCUCGAAAAAAUGCUCGGCUCCGGCUGGGCUUUCAACGCGACCCCAGGUCAGGCGGGGUUACCCGCUGAAUUUAAGCAUAUCAAUAAGCGGAGGA